This is an RNA transcript of Mandrillus leucophaeus (drill), 522 nucleotides long. It is a transcript of the gene named peptidyl-prolyl cis-trans isomerase A pseudogene, with no coding region annotated. The record is from RefSeq and is a predicted model, not a curated record. NCBI's taxonomy places the organism in Eukaryota, Metazoa, Chordata, Mammalia, Primates, Cercopithecidae. The transcript has 2 exons.
GCAGACACUGCCACUGAGGAAAAUCCUGUACUAUUAGCCAUGGUCAACCCCACCGUGUUCUUCGACAUUGCCAUCGACGGCGAGCCCUUGGGUUGCAUCUCUUUCGAGUUGUUUGCAAACAAGAUUCCAAAGACAGCAGAAAAUUUUCAUGCUCUGAGCACUGGAGAGAAAGGAUUUGGUUAUAAGGGCUCCUGUUUUCACAGAAUUAUUCCAGGGUUUAUGUGUCAGGGUGGUGACUUCACAUGCCAUAAUGGCACUGGCGGCAAGUCCAUCUACGAGGAGAAAUUUGAUGAUGAGAACUUCAUCCUAAAGCAUACAGGUCCUGGCAUCUUCUCCUCCCUACCGCCUUUAGCCACCAGGAAGCAUGGAAUGGGCCAGAUCCCUGGAUGCAAGCCAGGUCUGGAACCUGUAAGAAAAGAAAAUGUAGGCCCUGCAACUGGCUCUGAGGGAGCAGGAGAAGAUCAACCCCAUACUCUGAAUCUAAGAGAAGACUGGUGUCCACACUCUGAAUGGGAAGAAUGA